CUGGCGGCGCGCCUAACACAUGCAAGUCGAACGAGUGAGAGAGAGCUUGCUUUCUCGAGCGAGUGGCGAACGGGUGAGUAACGCGUGAGGAACCUGCCUCAAAGAUGGGGACAACAGUUGGAAACGACUGCUAAUACCGCAUAAGCCCACGGGUCGGCAUCGACCAGAGGGAAAAGGAGCAAUCCGCUUUGAGAUGGCCUCGCGUCCGAUUAGCUAGUUGGUGAGGUAACGGCCCACCAAGGCGACGAUCGGUAGCCGGACUGAGAGGUUGAACGGCCACAUUGGGACUGAGACACGGCCCAGACUCCUACGGGAGGCAGCAGUGGGGAAUAUUGCACAAUGGGGGAAACCCUGAUGCAGCGACGCCGCGUGGAGGAAGAAGGUCUUCGGAUUGUAAACUCCUGUUGUUGGGGAAGAUAAUGACGGUACCCAACAAGGAAGUGACGGCUAACUACGUGCCAGCAGCCGCGGUAAAACGUAGGUCACAAGCGUUGUCCGGAAUUACUGGGUGUAAAGGGAGCGCAGGCGGGAAGACAAGUUGGAAGUGAAAUCUAUGGGCUCAACCCAUAAACUGCUUUCAAAACUGUUUUUCUUGAGUAGUGCAGAGGUAGGCGGAAUUCCCGGUGUAGCGGUGGAAUGCGUAGAUAUCGGGAGGAACACCAGUGGCGAAGGCGGCCUACUGGGCACCAACUGACGCUGAGGCUCGAAAGUGUGGGUAGCAAACAGGAUUAGAUACCCUGGUAGUCCACGCUGUAAACGAUGAUUACUAGGUGUGGGGGGUCUGACCCCUUCCGU
RNAcentral lists this ribosomal RNA (795 nucleotides) under uncultured bacterium. RNAcentral describes it as "bacterial SSU rRNA". It matches the Rfam family "Bacterial small subunit ribosomal RNA", at positions 36 to 844 of the family's 1533-position model. The record is from RNAcentral.